This 501-nucleotide ribosomal RNA is filed under the name uncultured bacterium. RNAcentral's name for it is "partial 16S ribosomal RNA". It matches the Rfam family "Bacterial small subunit ribosomal RNA", at positions 30 to 523 of the family's 1533-position model. The record is from RNAcentral.
AUUGAACGCUGGCGGCAGGCUUAACACAUGCAAGUCGAGCGGAGAUGAGGUGCUCGCACCUUAUCUUAGCGGCGGACGGGUGAGUAAUGCUUAGGAAUCUGCCCAUUAGUGGGGGACAACAUUCCGAAAGGAAUGCUAAUACCGCAUACGUCCUACGGGAGAAAGCAGGGGAUCUUCGGACCUUGCGCUAAUAGAUGAGCCUAAGUCGGAUUAGCUAGUUGGUGGGGUAAAGGCCUACCAAGGCGACGAUCCGUAGCGGGUCUGAGAGGAUGAUCCGCCACACUGGGACUGAGACACGGCCCAGACUCCUACGGGAGGCAGCAGCGGGGAAUAUUGGACAAUGGGGGGAACCCUGAUCCAGCCAUGCCGCGUGUGUGAAGAAGGCCUUAUGGUUGUAAAGCACUUUAAGCGAGGAGGAGGCUACUGAGACUAAUACUCUUGGAUAGUGGACGUUACUCGCAGAAUAAGCACCGGCUAACUCUGUGCCAGCAGCCGCGGUAA